This 695-nucleotide ribosomal RNA is filed under the name uncultured bacterium. Its description in RNAcentral is "bacterial SSU rRNA". It matches the Rfam family "Bacterial small subunit ribosomal RNA", at positions 32 to 715 of the family's 1533-position model. The record is from RNAcentral.
AACGCUAGCUACAGGCUUAACACAUGCAAGUCGUGGGGCAGCAUUUUAGUUUGCUUGCAAACUAAAGAUGGCGACCGGCGCACGGGUGAGUAACACGUAUCCAACCUGCCGAUAACUCGGGGAUAGCCUUUCGAAAGAAAGAUUAAUAUCCGAUGGUAUAUUAAAACCGCAUGGUUUUACUAUUAAAGAAUUUCGGUUAUCGAUGGGGAUGCGUUCCAUUAGUUUGUUGGCGGGGUAACGGCCCACCAAGACUACGAUGGAUAGGGGUUCUGAGAGGAAGGUCCCCCACAUUGGAACUGAGACACGGUCCAAACUCCUACGGGAGGCAGCAGUGAGGAAUAUUGGUCAAUGGACGAGAGUCUGAACCAGCCAAGUAGCGUGAAGGAUGACUGCCCUAUGGGUUGUAAACUUCUUUUAUAUGGGAAUAAAGUGAGCCACGUGUGGCUUUUUGUAUGUACCGUAUGAAUAAGGAUCGGCUAACUCCGUGCCAGCAGCCGCGGUAAUACGGAAGGUCCAGGCGUUAUCCGGAUUUAUUGGGUUUAAAGGGAGCGUAGGCCGUCUGUUAAGCGUGUUGUGAAAUGUAGAUGCUCAACAUCUGAAUUGCUGCGCGAACUGGCAGACUUGAGUGUGCGCAACGUAGGCGGAAUUCGUGGUGUAGCGGUGAAAUGCUUAGAUAUCACGAAGAACUCCGAUUG